RNAcentral lists this ribosomal RNA (468 nucleotides) under uncultured bacterium. Its description in RNAcentral is "partial 16S ribosomal RNA". It matches the Rfam family "Bacterial small subunit ribosomal RNA", at positions 28 to 507 of the family's 1533-position model. The record is from RNAcentral.
GACGAACGCUGGCGGCGUGCUUAACACAUGCAAGUCGAACGGAAAGGCCCUGCUUUCGUGGGGUGCCCGAGUGGCGAACGGGUGAGUAACACGUGAGUAACCUGCCCUUCACUUUGGGAUAACUUCACGAAACUGGGGCUAAUACCGGAUAGGAGCCCCUGCUGCAUGGUGGGGGUUGGAAAGUUGCGGCGGUCGGGGUUGGACUCGCGGCUUAUCUGCUUGUUGGUGGGGUAGUGGCUUACCAAGGCUUUGACGGGUAGCCCGCCUGAGAGCGGGACCGGCGACAAUGGUCCUAAGGUACGGAGCAGAGUGGUACGGGAGACAGCAGUGGGGAGCAUGGCACAGUGGGAGGGAGCGUGAGACGGCAACGCUGCGUGCGGGAUGACGGCUUUCGGGUAGUGAACCGCUUUCGCCUGAGACGAAGCGUGAGUGACGGUAAUGGAUAAAGAAGCACCGGCUAACUACGUG